GAUGAACGCUGGCGGCGUGCCUAAUACAUGCAAGUCGAGCGAACGGACGAGAAGCUUGCUUCUCUGAUGUUAGCGGCGGACGGGUGAGUAACACGUGGAUAACCUACCUAUAAGACUGGGAUAACUUCGGGAAACCGGAGCUAAUACCGGAUAAUAUUUUGAACCGCAUGGUUCAAAAGUGAAAGACGGUCUUGCUGUCACUUAUAGAUGGAUCCGCGCUGCAUUAGCUAGUUGGUAAGGUAACGGCUUACCAAGGCAACGAUGCAUAGCCGACCUGAGAGGGUGAUCGGCCACACUGGAACUGAGACACGGUCCAGACUCCCACGGGAGGCAGCAGUAGGGAAUCUUCCGCAAUGGGCGAAAGCCUGACGGAGCAACGCCGCGUGAGUGAUGAAGGUCUUCGGAUCGUAAAACUCUGUUAUUAGGGAAGAACAUAUGUGUAAGUAACUGUGCACAUCUUGGCGGUACCUAAUCAGAAAGCCACGGCUAACUACGUG
Molecule: ribosomal RNA, 497 nt
Filed under: uncultured bacterium
Lineage: Bacteria
Description: partial 16S ribosomal RNA
Rfam family: Bacterial small subunit ribosomal RNA
Source: RNAcentral